Ictidomys tridecemlineatus (thirteen-lined ground squirrel) is the source of this 1221-nucleotide non-coding RNA. The record is from RefSeq and is a predicted model, not a curated record. NCBI's taxonomy places the organism in Eukaryota, Metazoa, Chordata, Mammalia, Rodentia, Sciuridae.
GCUCUAUGACUUCCUGUCUUACCAUGUGAUCUCUUCCUCUCCCACAAGCUCCCACUGUCAUGUCAUCUGCCAUGAUAUGACUCAGCCAAGGGGUACCCAACCAGAGGCUGAGCUAGGAGAGCUGCCCCAUCUUAGACUUUCAGCCUCCACAACAAAAUGAGCUAAGUGGAUCUUUUUUCUUUAAAAGUACCCAGCCUAAGGUAUUUUGUUAUAGCAACUAAAGAUGGGCAAAUAUAGAUAGAGUACUUGAUUAAGGCAUUGAGCCUUUUACAAUUGAAGCAAGACAUUCUUAUUGAUGAGAUAGUGAAUUCAGGAGACUUAAUAUGGUUCCUAUGAGACUGCAGAGUUUGACAGUCAUAGAAAAACAAAAGGAAUGAUUCACGCAGAUUUUAUGAGUAGCAAUGAGACAGAAGUUCCGCUUCUCUGUUUCUUAGGUAUACUUUUUAGAAGGUAGCAUUUUAAGUUUUUUGAAGUAGGAAGUAAUUAUUUUUAAUUUCUUAAAGAUGAUUUUUCUGGGGGCAUGAAACUCGUGGCCCCACUGUAUUCCUAUAAAUCAUUUUUCAUUUCCUCUAAUUCCCUUUCCAGACAUCUGCUGGCUUAUUAUUCUGGGCACAGAAAAUUAUGAUCAGUUUAGUGACUGCUUAAUACAGACUCAGAUUCAUCUGUCAAAGAAUAGCAAAGAUCAAAGAUUUUUCCAAGGCAGGCAGCAAGUAGAUCAAAGGAAACCUUCGCUCCUCAUCCUUUGAGAGCCUUGUGCAUGGGAUCAAGGAGAUAAUAUUGUCAGAUGUGUGGCAAAUGCUGUGGAUGCUGAGGCUGGUGAAUACAGGCCAGGUCCCUGCCCUCAUGUAGACUGCUGGAAAGACAGCCGUGUAAGCAACAACCUCCAGCUGCAGCGAGCAAGCGUCACCACCAAGGACGUGGAUACAGAGUGAGAGACACCUAAAGGGACUCUUCACCUGGCCCAGCCAUACGAGGUCUUCUCCUCGGUGAACAAACCCCGGGGACAAGCCAAAGUUAACCAUGAAGUACAGCUGGGGAGCAACAAGCAUUAAGGCCCUAAGGGAGAGUAUGGUUCCCAGCAGGAAGUGAGUGGCUGUCACAAAGUAGGACUGGCUGGGAUGUGAGGCCUGAGAGGGAAGCAGCAGGCGGAUCACAUGAGGCCUUGUGAGCCAUGUUGAGUUUGUCUAGGAAGAAAGAGAAACCUUGGGAAUCUUUUAGGUA